This 1784-nucleotide long non-coding RNA is filed under the name Panax ginseng (ginseng). Its description in RNAcentral is "long non-coding RNA (PGIN_LNC018829)". The record is from RNAcentral. Lineage: Eukaryota; Viridiplantae; Streptophyta; Magnoliopsida; Apiales; Araliaceae.
UUACAGCAAGUGCAGUAGCUGUUAAGUGAACAGAAGACAACGAUCUUGAAAGUAACCAGGAUCGUAGUGUUUGCCAAACAAAGAAGAAACUGAUGGAGUGUACACAGAGAUACUAGCCAACCUAUGAAGAACAAGACUAAAGUGAUUAAGCAUUGGGUUAGUCCAUUGAUGAUAAGUGAACGGGAGAUCACAAGGAGAAAGUGAGCUGGACAUGCCACAAAUCUGAAGUGUCUUGCUAUUCAGAAGAGACCAGAACAAGGAACAAGCCAUUAGUGUCUGAGAUCAGUCUAGUCAAACAGAAGAGUUGAAGCACUGCACAAGUGAAGGAAGAAGUGUUCUACAUUGAAGAUCCAAUGAACACUCUUCAGGAUCGUAGUGUUGUCUCAAUCAGUCAAUGAGCAACAUUCAACAAGACACACUACGAUCAGGUCCAAGAAUGUGCAUCAGAAUCAUAGAGUUCGGUCAUCUGAAGAUUGAAGCAUUUGCAACGCUUUAAUCUGAAGAGUGAUAUUCGAUGCAAAAGGACAGAUCCUAAUGUUCCAAUCAAAAAAUCAGAAAGGAGAAAUAAAGAAGACUACCUGCCCGAGGCAUCAAAGUGACAUCUCUGACGGGGUAGGUGAAACAAUAGACUGCAGUGCCAGAAAAUUGAAAAAGGGGAUGUCAUGUCAUAUCUGCAGUCUACAUCAAAUAACUCGAGAUCUGCGAAGCAAUUCAAAUAGCUCCCAACGGCUACAUUACAACGGGAAGGUUGUGGAGGAGUAUAAAUCAACAAGAGUUUCAAAGAUCAAAAGGUGUUGAAGUUGUUGAGGUUGGAGAGAUGGUGGACUGAUCAAAAUAAAGUAAAAUAGUGAGUGACCAAUGAAGGUCCGAAAGCUCACUCUACAAUCCACCAAGAACACUUGGAGAUGAACAGAGUAAGAAGUAGAAGUGAGAGUUCUAUUACAAGAAGAGUGUUCUGAACUGCUAAGAGAAAGAAAAGCAUCAAUGUCAUCUUGAUGUCUAUCAUGGGAAGACUCUAAGUACCAGAGAGAAGAGCUUACAGUCAUCUUAGCAAGUCCAUCAUGAGAAGGCAUCAAGUAUCAAGGAAGAAUAUCACCAACGUCAUCAUGAUGUCAAGCAUGAGAAAGUUUCUAAGUACCUAACAGAAGAGCCUACAAUCAUCUUAGAAACUCAUCUUGUGCAGCCAUCAAGUAUCAAGAAGAAUGAUCUUCACUGUAGUUCAACAAGGCAUCAUCGGAAGAGGUUGAGUAUCUGAAGAAGCUGAGCAUCAUAAAACACUCAACUGCACCUCAAGGAUGAUCACGUCAAGAUGCUAAGCAUUCAGAGAUGAAGAGCUUAAAGGACAUCUUAGCAGAAAGGCACCAGCACCAGCACCACCAACAACAACUACAACAACAAGAAGCCAGGGCCUGAGGGGUCCUUGUCUGGAGAGACUAAACGAAAUUCCAAACCUGCUGGGCUUGAAGAGUUCCUAGGGAACUAGAGAAGUUCCAAGGUUGCUGGCCUUGAAGAGUUCUGAGUGAACUGAAGUUCCAAGGUUGCUGGCCUUGAAGGAAUCUUAGUGAUUCAGGGUGCUGCCCUUCCUUAGUGGAAAUCCUGCUAGUUGAAAGCAGAAGAGUGGAUUAGGAGCUUGAGUCUCUGAACCACUUAAAAUUCCUUGUGUCAUUUACUUUAUGUCAUUUACAUUAUGUACCUAACUGCUAUAACUGCUAUGUAUGUAUUAACUGCUUACAACUUAACUAAUUCUAAGAACAAUGUAUAUAUGAUUAUAAAUAUAUCAAUGG